AACGAACGCUGGCGGCAUGCCUAACACAUGCAAGUCGAACGAGACCUUCGGGUCUAGUGGCGCACGGCUGCGUAACGCGUGGGAACCUGCCCUUAGGUUCGGAAUACCUCCCCGAAUGGGGUGCUAAUACCGGAUCAUGUCUUCGGACCAAGGAUUUAUCGCCUUUGGAUGGGCGCGUUGGAUUAGCUAGUUUGUAGGGUAAAAGCCUAUCAAGGCGACGAUCCAUAGCUGGUCUGAGAGGAUGAUCAGACACACUGGGACGGAGAAACGGCCCAGAAUCCUACGGGAAGCAGCAGUGGGGAAUAGAGGAAAAUGGGGGAAAGCCUGAUCCAGCAAUGCCGGGUGAGUGAUGAAGGCCUUAGGGUUGUAAAGCUCUUGUACCCGGGAUGAUAAUGACAGUACCGGGAGAAUAAGCUCCGGCUAACUCCGUG
This 431-nucleotide ribosomal RNA is filed under the name uncultured bacterium. RNAcentral's name for it is "partial 16S ribosomal RNA". It matches the Rfam family "Bacterial small subunit ribosomal RNA", at positions 29 to 507 of the family's 1533-position model. The record is from RNAcentral.